GACGAACGCUGGCGGCGUGCCUAAUACAUGCAAGUAGAACGCUGAAGCGAGGAGCUUGCUCUUCUUGGGUGAGGUGCGAACGGGUGAGUAACGCGUAUGUAACCUGCCUGGUAGCGGGGGAUAACUAGUGGAAACGAUAGCUAAUACCGCAUAACAAUGGAUUACACAUGUCAUGUAUUUGAAAGUGGCAGUUGCUCCACUACAAGAUGGACCUGCGUUGUAUUAGCUAGUAGGUGAGGUAAUGGCUCACCUAGGCGACGAUACAUAGCCGACCUGAGAGGGUGGUCGGCCGCCCUGGGACGGAGACCCGCCCCAGAGUCCUACGGGAGGCAGCCGUAGGGCAUCUUCGGCAAUGGGGGCAACCCUGACCGAGAAACGCCGCGUGAGUGAAGAAGGUUGUCGGAUCGUAAAGCUCUGUUGUAAGUCAAGAACGGGUGUGAGAGUGGAAAGUUCACACUGUGACGGUAGCUUACAAGAAAGGGACGGCUAACUACGUG
RNAcentral lists this ribosomal RNA (497 nucleotides) under uncultured bacterium. Its description in RNAcentral is "partial 16S ribosomal RNA". It matches the Rfam family "Bacterial small subunit ribosomal RNA", at positions 28 to 507 of the family's 1533-position model. The record is from RNAcentral.